Molecule: long non-coding RNA, 1398 nt
Filed under: Brassica napus (rape)
Lineage: Eukaryota; Viridiplantae; Streptophyta; Magnoliopsida; Brassicales; Brassicaceae
Description: long non-coding RNA (BNAP_LNC011486)
Source: RNAcentral
GCUAAGACACUUAAUUUUGGCGGCAAAAUACAGACCUAGGGCUUUCACUCACUCUCUCUCUCUCUCUCUCUCUCGCUCAGCUUAGGGUGAGUUGAUUUUGAAGAGGGUUUAAUCGAUUGUAAUUUAGGGUUUAAAAAAUGGAAGGAGAUUCGUCUCCGUUGAUAAGACCCAUCAACAGAGCCGUCGUUCACAGAAUCUGCGCGGGACAAGUCAUCUUGGACCUCUCCUCCGCCAUCAAGGAGCUUGUGGAGAACAGUCUCGACGCCGGAGCCACCAGCAUAGAAAUCAACCUCCGUGACUACGGCGAAGACUACUUCCAAGUCAUCGACAACGGCUGCGGCAUUUCCCCAUCCAAUUUCAAGGUUACAAUCUCCGACGAAUUGCUAAAAAAAAAAUUUUUAAAAAUAAAUAUUAAAAUUUUCAAAAUAAAAAGAAACUAUCUUGGUUAUUUUUUUUAUUGAAUGCUAUUUUUGUGACAAAAACUUAAAAAUGGCUAUUUGAAAGAAUUGCACUAAAUUUUAAUAUAUGCACUAUUUAAAAUAUUUGUUUAUUUUGCAUGAAACUUUUUAAGAAUAAAUUAAUGUUUUGUUAUAUAAACGUUAAUUUAGUUAAAUAGAUUUAUAACUAAAUUGUAUUUAUUUAUUAAAAAAAAUAAUUCACAAAACAAAAUGCUUUCUGUUUAGAACUCCUGGUGACUCGGUGGUAGGUAACCUUGCCACACAGAACCAUAUAAGUUUUAAGUAUAUCGCGCACUUACACAAAAAGGUAAAGUAUCUGUUUUAUCAAAGUUAAAGAAAAAAAAGAAGUAGCUGUAUUACUAUUAUGUAUACGCAGUCAUUUUAGGUACAAAGAGAAGAGAUUUUAGGGAAAUCUAAGGAAGAAGAAACCCGAAUUGCCCCUAAAACCUAAAUUAAGUUAAUCUAUUACGCGGCCCUUCCGAAUACUAGUAACUAAGCCCAAUGGUCUUAACCGUUAAUAAAAUGCAAUGGGUUGACAAAUUAAAGAAAAUUAAAAACGCAAAUCGCGUCCACGCCGCAAAUCCCCAAACGCUAAGACACUUAAUUUUGGCGGCAAAAUACAGACCUAGGGCUUUCACUCACUCUCUCUCUCUCUCUCUCUCUCGCUCAGCUUAGGGUGAGUUGAUUUUGAAGAGGGUUUAAUCGAUUGUAAUUUAGGGUUUAAAAAAUGGAAGGAGAUUCGUCUCCGUUGAUAAGACCCAUCAACAGAGCCGUCGUUCACAGAAUCUGCGCGGGACAAGUCAUCUUGGACCUCUCCUCCGCCAUCAAGGAGCUUGUGGAGAACAGUCUCGACGCCGGAGCCACCAGCAUAGAAAUCAACCUCCGUGACUACGGCGAAGACUACUUCCAAGUCAUCGACAACGGCUGCGGCAUUUCCCCA